RNAcentral lists this ribosomal RNA (966 nucleotides) under Gloeomyces cerussatus. RNAcentral's name for it is "eukaryotic LSU rRNA". It matches the Rfam family "Eukaryotic large subunit ribosomal RNA", at positions 1 to 955 of the family's 3401-position model. The record is from RNAcentral. Lineage: Eukaryota; Fungi; Basidiomycota; Agaricomycetes; Russulales; Stereaceae.
GACCUCAAAUCAGGUGGGACUACCCGCUGAACUUAAGCAUAUCAAUAAGCGGAGGAAAAGAAACUAACAAGGAUUCCCCUAGUAACUGCGAGUGAAGCGGGAAAAGCUCAAAUUUAAAAUCUGGCGGUCUCCGGCCGUCCGAGUUGUAGUCUGGAGAAGCGUUUUCCGCGUUGGACCGUGUACAAGUUUCCUGGAACGGAGCGUCAUAGAGGGUGAGAAUCCCGUCUUUGACACGGACCCCAAUGCUUUGUGAUGCGCUCUCAAAGAGUCGAGUUGUUUGGGAAUGCAGCUCAAAAUGGGUGGUGAAUUCCAUCUAAAGCUAAAUAUUGGCGAGAGACCGAUAGCGAACAAGUACCGUGAGGGAAAGAUGAAAAGCACUUUGGAAAGAGAGUUAAACAGUACGUGAAAUUGUUGAAAGGGAAACGCUUGAAGUCAGUCGCGUCGUCCGGGACUCAGCCUUGCAUUCGCUUGGUGUACUUUCCGGUCGACGGGCCAGCAUCAGUUUUGACCGCGAGACAAAGGCGGAGGGAAUGUGGCUCUUUCGGGAGUGUUAUAGCCCUUCGUCGCAUGUCGCGGUUGGGACUGAGGACCGCAGCACGCCUUUAUGGCCGGGGUUCGCCCACGUACGUGCUUAGGAUGCUGGCGUAAUGGCUUUAAACGACCCGUCUUGAAACACGGACCAAGGAGUCUAACAUGCCUGCGAGUGUUCGGGUGGAAAACCCGUGCGCGUAAUGAAAGUGAAAGUUGGGAUCCCUGUCGUGGGGUGCACCGACGCCCGGACCAGACCUUUUGUGACGGAUCUGCGGUAGAGCAUGUAUGUUGGGACCCGAAAGAUGGUGAACUAUGCCUGAAUAGGGUGAAGCCAGAGGAAACUCUGGUGGAGGCUCGUAGCGAUUCUGACGUGCAAAUCGAUCGUCAAAUUUGGGUAUAGGGGCGAAAGACUAAUCGAACCAUCUAGUAGCUGGU